UAUAUGCAAUAGUAAUGUAAUUCAGAUUCUUAAUUCUGCUUUUUUCAGCGAGGUUUUCAGACAGUUACGCCUCGCUACAGAAGACACCAGCAGCUAUAUUAGCCACGCAGGGUCGACAAGGCUCUUCAGGGCCACCCGGUAAUGAUGGCUCCCCAGGACCCCCCGGAGAGCCAGGACCUCCAGGUCCCCAAGGGUAUCGAGGGCAGAAAGGGGAACGGGGUCAAUUGGGGUUGGGUCUUCCAGGACCUCCAGGCUCCACAGGUUCACCCGGAAUAGGAUUCCAGGGGCCCCAAGGUCCCCCGGGGUCCCAAGGUCCAGAGGGAAGAUGUAAACCCAGUGACUGCUUCCAUCCAUACGCCAGACGGGAUGGGUAGAAUCUGACACAUCCUCAUCAAACCUGGAAACCAGUGAAC
Molecule: long non-coding RNA, 413 nt
Filed under: Sinocyclocheilus anshuiensis
Lineage: Eukaryota; Metazoa; Chordata; Actinopteri; Cypriniformes; Cyprinidae
Description: lncRNA (ENSSANG00000046419.1)
Source: RNAcentral